This 434-nucleotide ribosomal RNA is filed under the name uncultured bacterium. RNAcentral describes it as "partial 16S ribosomal RNA". It matches the Rfam family "Bacterial small subunit ribosomal RNA", at positions 29 to 506 of the family's 1533-position model. The record is from RNAcentral.
AGCGAACGCUGGCGGCAGGCUUAACACAUGCAAGUCGAGCGGGCACUUUCGGGUGUCAGCGGCGGACGGGUGAGUAACGCGUGGGAACGUGCCCUCUGGUUCGGAAUAACUCAGGGAAACUUGAGCUAAUACCGGAUACGCCCUUUUGGGGAAAGGCUUGCUGCCGGAGGAUCGGCCCGCGUCUGAUUAGCUAGUUGGUGAGGUAACGGCUCACCAAGGCGACGAUCAGUAGCUGGUCUGAGAGGAUGAUCAGCCACACUGGGACUGAGACACGGCCCAGACUCCUACGGGAGGCAGCAGUGGGGAAUAUUGGACAAUGGGCGCAAGCCUGAUCCAGCCAUGCCGCGUGAGUGAUGAAGGCCUUAGGGUUGUAAAGCCCUUUUAUCCGGGACGAUAAUGACGGUACCGGAGGAAUAAGCCCCGGCUAACUUCGU